CGCCGAGGCUCCACCGCGCAGCCGCAAAAGGAGCGGACGGGUCUGCGCCGCCGCAGGAGGAGCAGGCGGUACCUGGACGGGUUCGUCCCGGGCUGUUUCGCGUCCGGCCUGAGGCGGCUGGGGCCGCGCAGGUUUUUAUUCAUAAUCCUCAUACACGGAACCAGCAUGUCAGUGCAUCCAGGGUCUUCCAGAGCCCCCUGGAAUCUGAUGUUUCUCUUCUCAACAUUAACCAGGCAGUCAGCUGUCUGACUGCAGGCGUAUUGAACCCUGAGCUUGGCUAUGAUGCCCUUUUAGUGGGGACACAGACUAAUCUUUUGGCUUAUGAUGUCUACAAUAAUUCGGAUUUGUUCUACAGAGAGGUAGCAGAUGGGGCAAAUGCAAUUGUGCUGGGGACAUUGGGAGACAUUUCUUCCCCUCUUGCGAUUAUUGGUGGCAAUUGUGCUCUGCAAGGUUUCAAUCAUGAAGGAAGUGAUCUCUUUUGGACGGUUACUGGAGACAAUGUUAAUUCCUUGGCCUUGUGUGACUUUGAUGGUGAUGGAAAGAAAGAGCUUCUUGUUGGAUCUGAGGAUUUUGAUAUCCGAGUUUUUAAGGAAGAUGAGAUUGUGGCAGAAAUGACAGAAACAGAGAUAGUCACCUCUCUUUGUCCCAUGUAUGGCAGUCGGUUUGGUUAUGCCCUUUCCAAUGGCACAGUUGGAGUUUAUGACAAAACAUCCCGAUACUGGAGAAUUAAAUCGAAAAAUCAUGCCAUGAGCAUUCAUGCUUUUGACCUUAAUUCUGAUGGAGUGAAUGAACUGAUAACUGGUUGGUCCAAUGGGAAGGUUGAUGCUCGAAGUGACCGAACUGGGGAGGUCAUCUUUAAGGACAAUUUUUCUUCUGCAAUUGCCGGUGUGGUAGAGGGAGAUUACCGGAUGGAUGGCCACAUACAGUUAAUCUGCUGCUCAGUGGAUGGGGAAAGUAAAUUGGGAUGAGAAAAAUCCUUAAAAAGUCACAUUUUCCAUUUGAUUGGGUCAAAAUAUCAGGAAAUUUCACCUGAAGUAUUUGUACCGAGAUCCUGUAGUUCUAAUAAAUUCACCAAAGUUGGGGAGAACUUAGGUUUUUGUUUUUAAGAGCAGGUAAUUGAUGACCUAAAAGUAUACCUGGUUAUACUUGGGGUUUUUUCCUUCUGUUCAGUCCGGGGCUACCUGCCUGGCACGGCUGAGAUGAGGGGGAACCUCAUGGACACCAGUGCAGAGCAGGACCUGAUCCGAGAGCUGAGUCAGAAGAAGCAGAAUCUGUUGCUGGAACUCCGUAACUAUGAGGAAAACACCAAGGUAGGUGUAGGUCCUAAUGUGACCAGGUAAUGGAGGCUGAAAUGUUGAGACUGACCGGGAGGAUCAGCAAAUAUGGAAGAAUGAGAGUGUCAUUGCCAGGGUGUGGCCUUUUUGCCAGUGUCAGAAUUGAGAGGGGAUAUAUGCUUUCAUCUUGAAAUUUCAUUUCCAGGUAGUUAAACUGUAGAAAUGUUUUCCUGAAUGUUUAAGGACAUUUCCUGCAGCACUAUUUAUAGCAGUGAAAACAGCUGGAAGAAACUUAGAUGUUCAUCAGCAGUAGGGAGUAUGUGCUAAGGAAUAUUAGGCAGCUCAAAGAAUGAAUACUUGGACUGAUAUGGAAGGAUAUCUGUCGUCUUACUAAGUGACAAAAGGCAAGAACAAUAUAGAAUGUCUUUUAUCUUUUUCAAAAACAAACAUAUUAAAAACUGACAGCUGUAAAAACGUGUGUGUGCAUACAGCAAACUGGCUGAAAUAUUCCUUUAAUUUGUCUUGUAAUGCAUUACUGUAUUUGAAUUUGAUGUACCAAGGGAAUUUGUUUGCUUACUUUAAAAGAACAAUACUUCAAAAAUGUUAAAGUCAUGAUGGGAUACAGUGGACCAUACCCAUAGAAAGAGGCAAGGGUAUUUUCCCACAGGGCCAGAUAGAGCAAGGGAGCACUAAUGAGGUGAGUUCUCUGAAUUCUAAAGGAUCAGAUUACUAUAAUAAUAAUAAUAUACUGGAGGCUCUGUCUUUUGAAGCUGAAUAGCAAUAUUAUUUAAAAUUGAUAUUAGUUCAGUGUUUUGGUGACUGAGUAGGAAAUGGGUGGGGUGUUUUGCAGGCUGAAUUGGCCAGUCCACUGAACGAGGCUGAUGGGCAUCGGGGCAUAAUCCCAGCCAAUACCAGGCUCCACACCACGCUCUCAGUCAGCCUGGGGAAUGAGACCCAAACUGCUCAUACAGAAUUACGCAUUUCCACUUCUAAUGGUAAGACAGUACUCACAGCUGGUAUUUAGAGGCACCUGUGCCAUCUUGGAGUCAUUCUUUUUUUUUUUUUUUGAGACAGAGUCUUCCUCUGUCUUGGCUCACUGCAAGCUCUGCCUCCCGGGUUCAUGCCAUUCUCCUGCCUCAGCCUCCCAAGUAGCUGGGACUACAGGCGCCCACCACCAUGCCCAGCUAAUUUUUUGUAUUUUUAGUAGAGAUAGGGUUUCACCAUGUUAGCCAAGAUGGUCUCGACCUCCUGACCUCGUGAUCCGCCCAUCUCGGCUUCCCAAAGUUGGAGUUGUUCUUAAACUGUUUUUACUCUUCCCUGCAGACACCAUCAUCCGAGCAGUAUUGAUUUUUGCAGAGGGAAUUUUUACAGGUGAAAGCCACGUGGUACAUCCCAGCAUUCACAACCUCUCCAGUUCCAUCUGCAUCCCUAUUGUGCCUCCCAAAGAUGUCCCUGUGGAUCUGCACUUGAAGGCAUUCGUGGGUUACAGAAGCAGGUGACCCUUUGCAAGUCACAGUUCAUUUCAGGACAGCACUUAGAGGAGGGCAAGAUGUAUAAAUUUUCCAUAUGCCCAGUGGAUUCUUGGGGGCCUGAGAAACCAUUUAAUGGUUCUAUCUACCCAAAGUUUCUCAUGACCUUUUAUUUCCUCAGUUUGAAACCUGUAAAAAGAAAAUGGAAAAACUGAUAUGUAAGUUUAAGAUGGUUCUUUUUUUUUUUUUUUUUUUUUUUGAGACAGAUUCUAGCUUUGUCGCCCAGGCUGGAGUACAGUGGGGCAAUCCCGGUUCACUGCAACCUCUACCUCCUGGGUUCAAGCAAUUCUUCUGCCUCAGCCUCCUGAGUACUGGGACCACAGGUGCCCACCACUGCGCCCAGCUAAUUUUUGUAUUUUUAGUAGAGACAGGAGUUCACCAUGUUGGCCAGGCUGGUCUUGAACUCCUGACCUCAGGUGAUCCACCCGCCUUGGCUUCCGAAAGUGCUGGGAUUACAGGCAUGAGCCACCACGCCCGGCUAAGAUCAUUAUUUUCUGUUUUUAGUCAGGUGAUCUCAUAAUCACAAAAUGUUUAAUUGAUGAUUUGUCAAUUUGUAGUUUUGGCCACUAGAACUACAAGAGUUAGGAUGCACCUUUAUAUUACAGUCAUACAUAACCUCAGCUAGUGAAGAAAAAAACUGCUCUAUUUGUGGAAGAUAAGAUACUUUUUACAUCCCCUUUAUGAUAUUUUAAACCCUUAGUGCAUGCAGGUAUAUAUGUAGACUCAUGCUGUCUUUAAAUCCCAAACCUAAUAUAUUACUGUAGUACUUUAACCCUCAAGUGUUUUGGGGGUUCCUUCUUAAGUGAAACCCUUAAAUAUCAAUUGAUGACCCAGAAGUGGCUUUAUUUUCUGGGCCUUGCAUUUUGAAAGAACAUUCUAUACAAAACAAGUCUCUUGUGUUUCAUUGAUUGGCCAUAGCACCCAGUUUCAUGUAUUUGAAUUGACAAGACAGCUCCCUCGAUUCUCCAUGUAUGCGCUGACCAGCCUGGACCCUGCCAGUGAGCCAAUCAGUUAUGUUAACUUUACCAUUGCAGAACGGGCACAGAGGGUGAGUAUCUCGCUUUUCUCUUUCAAUGCUUUUACACAGUAGAAUCCUUUAGAUGUUAUUUCAUAGAAAGGGAAAAUUACAUUAAUGUGUUAUAUUGGUAGCAGUAAAUAUGAUAUGAAAGAAUUCUCUAACUUGGGGGUGGCUUGUAACCUGUAAUAAAAAUAUUGCUAAAAUACCUUCUCUCACUUUGAAAAAGCAUCUGAGCAAUCCUCAGUUAUUGGUGAAUUCUUACCAGUGUUUAAUUCCUCUCUUUCCGUUAUGGUCUUAGUGUGGUUGUCCUGGUGUAGUAUUUCAAGAGGAACCUGCAGCAAGAUGAAAAGAGAGUGGGACUUGGAGCUAAGAACGUUUUUUGGCUUUAAGUGCUACGUUAACUCAUUAAAUUCUUAGUGAUCUUGGGGAAUUCCCCUCACCAGUGUGAGCCUCAGUUUUCUUAUCUAAUAAGUAAGGAUAAUCUUACCCACCUUAUUGCGGGGGCCCGAGGAUUACAUGAUUGGUGUAACAGUAGCACCUUGUACAUUUGAAAGGACUAAUACCAGUGGACUUUAACCUUGGCUGGGCUUUGGAAUUCUUGGUGGGACUUUUUAAUCAUGUAGAUUCUCAGGCCCCUGCCUGGCCUGUGGAACCACAGACUCUAUAGGUGGGCCCUUCCAGAAGGCCUCAUGGGUGGUUCUCAUGUGGAACCUGUGUUGCAAGCCACUGCAUGGUGUUACUGCUAUUAACAUUAAAACUUAUAUUUUCCUUAUUGUGUGGAUAUAUCUGUGGUGUUUGCCCAUGUAUACUUCAUUUUACAUUUCUUAAAGAAUAGAAUGGAAUGGUUUUAAGCACGCUACAUUGUCCAGGUUAUACCCACAGAAGAGCUGUUGUGUAACAGCAUCAGCAUCAUACCUGAAUCAUUUGUACAUUGCAUAUAAGACUAUGUCUAAGUAGAAGAUGCUAUGAAAUCAUGUCUGCUGUGGGGCCAGGCAUAAUUAUGAAUGUUACUUAAGAGCAUAGGUGAGGUGAGAAAAGGGAGGGUGACUAGUGUUUUAGUAUUUUCUUGGUGUGGGAUGAAGUAUAAUUCUUUUUUUUUUUUCUCAACAAAGCAGUAAAAAUAGAAAGAAGGAGAACUCUUCCCUCAAGAAUGGCUGUACCUUCAUAUCUAGAGGCACAUUAAAAAAAAGAAUGUCUGUACCUUAAAGAUGGAGGUCAUUUCAUUGUGUUCAUUUUCAAGGUUGUCGUAUGGCUCGGUCAGAACUUUCUGUUACCAGAAGACACUCACAUUCAGAACGCUCCAUUUCAAGUGUGUUUCACAUCUUUACGGAAUGGUGGCCACCUGCAUAUAAAAAUAAAACUUAGUGGAGAGAUCACUAUAAAUACUGAUGAUAUUGAUUUGGCUGGUGAUAUCAUCCAGUCAAUGGCAUCAUUUUUUGCUAUUGAAGACCUUCAAGUAGAAGCGGAUUUUCCUGUCUAUUUUGAGGAAUUACAAAAGGUGCUAGUUAAGGUGGAUGAAUAUCAUUCAGUGCAUCAGAAGCUCAGUGCUGAUAUGGCUGAUCAUUCUAAUUUGAUCCGAAGUUUGCUGGUCGGAGCUGAGGAUGCUCGUCUGAUGAGGGACAUGAAAACAAUGAAGAGUCGUUAUAUGGAACUCUAUGACCUUAAUAGAGACUUGCUAAAUGGAUAUAAAAUUCGCUGUAACAAUCACACAGAGCUGUUGGGAAACCUCAAAGCAGUAAAUCAAGCAAUUCAAAGAGCAGGUCGUCUGCGGGUUGGAAAACCAAAGAACCAGGUGAUCACUGCUUGUCGGGAUGCAAUUCGAAGCAAUAACAUCAACACACUGUUCAAAAUCAUGCGAGUGGGGACAGCUUCUUCCUAGGAGAGGAAAAUACAGGUCAUGAAGUUCCUGGCAAAGAUUUUCUGUUAAAAACCUAUGCUGGUUUGCUUUGGAUCACACCCUGGUGAACCCUGGGUGCUAAGAACGAAAAUAACCUUGGUGAGUUGUACAAAUUAAAGACAGAACUACAUGUGAAGAUAGACUUGCUUUCUAUUUUUAAAUCAGUAGUAGUACUGUUGCUGAAUAAUACUAGGUUUUUAUGGAAUAGGAUGAAUGCUUUUGAAGUAUUAGGGCUUCAGAGUCCAAUUUUUGCUUAUUUAUGGUAUAUAAAUACAUAUUUUUUUCUUGAAAUUGCAAUUGAGUUUGUACUUUUCAAAUAGAUUAUCUACUUUUUCAUUAAAAUGUAAAGAUGUUAAA
RNAcentral lists this small RNA (6075 nucleotides) under Pan troglodytes (chimpanzee). Its description in RNAcentral is "retained intron". The record is from RNAcentral. Lineage: Eukaryota; Metazoa; Chordata; Mammalia; Primates; Hominidae.